Molecule: Y RNA, 97 nt
Filed under: Prolemur simus (greater bamboo lemur)
Lineage: Eukaryota; Metazoa; Chordata; Mammalia; Primates; Lemuridae
Description: Y RNA (ENSPSMG00000008365.1)
Rfam family: Y RNA
About the family: Y RNAs are components of the Ro ribonucleoprotein particle (Ro RNP), in association with Ro60 and La proteins.
Source: Rfam by way of RNAcentral
AGCUGGUCUGACGGUAGCGGGUUAUCAGAACUUAUUAACAUCAGUGUCACUAAAGUUGGUAUACAACCCCCACACUACUAAAUUUGACUGGCUAAAG